RNAcentral lists this long non-coding RNA (280 nucleotides) under Prunus persica (peach). Its description in RNAcentral is "long non-coding RNA (PPER_LNC004408)". The record is from RNAcentral. Lineage: Eukaryota; Viridiplantae; Streptophyta; Magnoliopsida; Rosales; Rosaceae.
AGAGAGUUAUAAAAAGAGAAAAAAUGCAAAAAGAUUGUGAUAUUGAUUGCAAGGUAAGGUAAGAAAUCAAGGAAGGAAGCUGGUGGGAGCAGACAACAAGAUCGGCAAUCAAGGAAGGAAGCUGGUGGGAGCAAACGACAAGCUCUCAUUGCUUCUAGUUUAGAAGAACUUCCGGAGAUUAGAGCAUAAGGUUGCCUUCACAGUUCCCUGAUAUAGUGGAAACAUGAUCAGGGAUAGUCUUGCUUCCUGAAUGGAUGAUCAGAGAUAGUCUUGCUUCUCG